RNAcentral lists this ribosomal RNA (279 nucleotides) under uncultured bacterium. Its description in RNAcentral is "partial 16S ribosomal RNA". It matches the Rfam family "Bacterial small subunit ribosomal RNA", at positions 506 to 784 of the family's 1533-position model. The record is from RNAcentral.
UGCCAGCCGCCGCGGUAAGACAGAGGGUGCAAACGUUGCUCGGAAUUACUGGGCGUAAGGCGCACGUAGGCGGAUUCGCAAGUCGGGUGUGAAAUCCCCGGGCUCAACCUGGGAACUGCAUUCGAAACUGCGUGUCUAGAGUGGUGGAGAGGGAAGCGGAAUUCCAGGUGUAGAGGUGAAAUUCGUAGAUAUCUGGAGGAACACCAGUGGCGAAGGCGGCUUCCUGGACACUGACUGACGCUGAGGUGCGAAAGCGUGGGGAGCGAACAGGAUUAGAUA